Suncus etruscus (white-toothed pygmy shrew) is the source of this 107-nucleotide small nuclear RNA. Lineage: Eukaryota; Metazoa; Chordata; Mammalia; Eulipotyphla; Soricidae. The record is from RefSeq and is a predicted model, not a curated record.
GUGCUUGCUUUGGCAGCACAUAUACUAAAACUGGAGCGAUACAGAGAAGAUGAGCGUGGCCCCAACACAAGAAUGACAAGCAAAUUCAUGAAGCCUUCCAUGUUUUU